GGGGUUGUAGCUCUAUGGCAGAGUGCUCACCUUGCAUGUGGAAGGCCCUGGGUUUGAUCCUCAGCACCACA
This 71-nucleotide transfer RNA is filed under the name Marmota monax (woodchuck). RNAcentral describes it as "tRNA.Ala". It matches the Rfam family "tRNA". Rfam says of the family: Transfer RNA (tRNA) molecules are approximately 80 nucleotides in length. Lineage: Eukaryota; Metazoa; Chordata; Mammalia; Rodentia; Sciuridae. The record is from RNAcentral.